AUUGAACGCUGGCGGCAGGCCUAACACAUGCAAGUCGAACGAGUGGCGGACGGGUGAGUAAUGUCUGGGAAACUGCCCGAUGGCGGGGGAUAACUUCUGGAAACGGUAGCUAAUACCGCAUACCAUCGGAUGUGCCCAGAUGGGAUAAGCUAGUAGGUGGGGUAACGGCUCACCUAGGAGACGAUCCCUAGCUGGUCUGAAAGGAGGACCAGCCACCCUGGAACUAAGACACGGUCCAGACUCCUACGAGUGUCAGCAGUGGGGGAUAUUGCACAUUGGGCGAAAGCCUGAUGCAGCCAUGCGGCGUGUAUGAAGAGGGCCUUCGGGUUGUAAAGUACUUUCAGCGAGGAGGCGUUACUCGCAGAGGAAGCACCGGCUAACUCCGUGCCAGCAGCCGCGGUAAUUC
RNAcentral lists this ribosomal RNA (406 nucleotides) under uncultured bacterium. RNAcentral's name for it is "partial 16S ribosomal RNA". It matches the Rfam family "Bacterial small subunit ribosomal RNA", at positions 30 to 526 of the family's 1533-position model. The record is from RNAcentral.